AACGUAGGUUCCGAGCGUUAUCCGGAUUUACUGGGCGUAAAGCGCGUUCAGGCGGUUUGGCAAGUCGGGCAUGAAAUCUCUCGGCUCAACCGGGAGAGGUUGUCCGAUACUGCUGGACUUGAGGGCAGUAGAGGGUGGUGGAAUUCCGGGUGUAGUGGUGAAAUGCGUAGAGAUCGGGAAGAACAUCGGUGGCGAAGGCGGCCUGCUGGGCUCUUGCUGACACUGAUGCGCGACAGCGUGGGGAGCAAACAGG
RNAcentral lists this ribosomal RNA (253 nucleotides) under uncultured bacterium. RNAcentral describes it as "partial 16S ribosomal RNA". It matches the Rfam family "Bacterial small subunit ribosomal RNA", at positions 524 to 776 of the family's 1533-position model. The record is from RNAcentral.